UGGGGAAUUUUGGACAAUGGGCGAAAGCCUGAUCCAGCAAUGCCGCGUGUGUGAAGAAGGCCUUCGGGUUGUAAAGCACUUUUGUCCGGAAAGAAAUCCUCUGGGUUAAUACCUCGGGGGGAUGACGGUACCGGAAGAAUAAGCACCGGCUAACUACGUGCCAGCAGCCGCGGUAAUACGUAGGGUGCAAGCGUUAAUCGGAAUUACUGGGCGUAAAGCGUGCGCAGGCGGUUUUGUAAGACGGAUGUGAAAUCCCCGGGCUUAACCUGGGAACUGCAUUCGUGACUGCAAGGCUAGAGUAUGGCAGAGGGGGGUAGAAUUCCACGUGUAGCAGUGAAAUGCGUAGAUAUGUGGAGGAACACCGAUGGCGAAGGCAGCCCCCUGGGUCAAGAUUGACGCUCAUGCACGAAAGCGUGGGGAGCAAACA
Molecule: ribosomal RNA, 427 nt
Filed under: uncultured bacterium
Lineage: Bacteria
Description: bacterial SSU rRNA
Rfam family: Bacterial small subunit ribosomal RNA
Source: RNAcentral